GUGAAUCAUCAAAUUUUUGAACGCAAAUUGCGCUUCCUGGUAUCCCGGGAAGUAUGCCUGUUUGAGGGUCAGUAUUAACAAAAAAUCGGUUUUGUUGCAAAGUGUGGCGUUUCCGGAGUUUGGGCUGAUCUUAACUUUUUUGGUUAAGGGGCUUAAAAUUGACCUUUUUUGCGCAUUUUGAGACGUACAUAAUGUUUUUUUUAUUCAUCUAUUCUGU
This 217-nucleotide unclassified non-coding RNA is filed under the name Glomeraceae sp. Its description in RNAcentral is "partial contains 5.8S ribosomal RNA and internal transcribed spacer 2". The stretch from base 1 to 71 matches the Rfam family "5.8S ribosomal RNA", at positions 84 to 154 of the family's 154-position model. The record is from RNAcentral. Lineage: Eukaryota; Fungi; Glomeromycota; Glomeromycetes; Glomerales; Glomeraceae.